RNAcentral lists this transfer RNA (95 nucleotides) under Hyphomonas sp. RNAcentral describes it as "tRNA-OTHER". The record is from RNAcentral. Lineage: Bacteria; Pseudomonadati; Pseudomonadota; Alphaproteobacteria; Hyphomonadales; Hyphomonadaceae.
GGGCUGCUUGCUCCACGCCGCACUGUAAAUGCGGUCCCGUUUAUCAACAGGUGGAGUGGCCACGGUGAGAGGUUCGAUUCCUCAGCGGCCCACCA